CGAAAGGGUCGCGAACCCGCGAGGGGGAGCCAAUCCCAAAAAGCCGCUCUCAGUUCGGAUUGCAGGCUGCAACUCGCCUGCAUGAAGCCGGAAUCGCUAGUAAUCGUAGAUCAGAACGCUACGGUGAAUACGUUCUCGGGGUUU
Molecule: ribosomal RNA, 144 nt
Filed under: uncultured Anoxybacillus sp.
Lineage: Bacteria; Bacillati; Bacillota; Bacilli; Caryophanales; Anoxybacillaceae
Description: partial 16S ribosomal RNA
Rfam family: Bacterial small subunit ribosomal RNA
Source: RNAcentral